ACGGAGGGUGCAAGCGUUAUCCGGAAUCACUGGGUUUAAAGGGUGCGUAGGCGGCUUAGUAAGUCAGUGGUGAAAGACUGUGGCUUAACCAUGGAAUUGCCAUUGAUACUGCUGAGCUUGAAUCAGGUUGAGGUUGGCGGAAUGUGACAUGUAGCGGUGAAAUGCUUAGAUAUGUCAUGGAACACCGAUUGCGAAGGCAGCUGACUGGACCUGUAUUGACGCUGAGGCACGAAAGCGUGGGGAGCGAACAGGA
RNAcentral lists this ribosomal RNA (253 nucleotides) under uncultured prokaryote. RNAcentral describes it as "partial 16S ribosomal RNA". It matches the Rfam family "Bacterial small subunit ribosomal RNA", at positions 525 to 777 of the family's 1533-position model. The record is from RNAcentral.